Molecule: ribosomal RNA, 443 nt
Filed under: uncultured bacterium
Lineage: Bacteria
Description: partial 16S ribosomal RNA
Rfam family: Bacterial small subunit ribosomal RNA
Source: RNAcentral
CCUACGGGAGGCAGCAGUGGGGAAUAUUGGGCAAUGGAGGCAACUCUGACCCAGCAACGCCGCGUGAAUGAUGAAGGUCUUCGGAUUGUAAAGUUCUGUGAUGGGGGAUGAACACAAUGACGGUACCCCAAUAGCAAGCCACGGCUAACUACGUGCCAGCAGCCGCGGUAAUACGUAGGUGGCAAGCGUUAUCCGGAAUGACUGGGCGGAAGGGGUGCGUAGGUGGUUUAGUAAGUUGGCGGUGUAAUUCCGGGGCUCAACCCCGGCGCUACCGCCAAAACUAUUAGACUAGAGUGCAGGAGGGGUAAGUGGAAUUCCUAGUGUAGCGGUGGAAUGCGUAGAUAUUAGGAGGAACAUCAGGGGCGAAGGCGACUUACUGGACUGUAACUGACACUGAGGCACGAAAGCGUGGGGAGCAAACAGGAUUAGAUACCCGGGUAGUC